ACAAUGAUACUCCUGUCCAGUCACAGUCCGAGCGUGAAAAAACCGUCGCAGGCAAUGAGGGCAGCCGACAGCGAUCCUGCCGGGGGUGAGAUGCCCGUG
RNAcentral lists this non-coding RNA (99 nucleotides) under human gut metagenome. RNAcentral's name for it is "pemK RNA". It matches the Rfam family "pemK RNA". The record is from RNAcentral.